UACGAAGGGGGCGAGCGUUGUUCGGAAUUACUGGGCGUAAGGCGUGCGCAGGCGGUGAUGUAAGACAGUUGUGAAAUCCCCGGGCUCAACCUGGGAACUGCAUCUGUGACUGCAUCGCUGGAGUGCGGCAGAGGGGGAUGGAAUUCCGCGUGUAGCAGUGAAAUGCGUAGAUAUGCGGAGGAACACCGAUGGCGAAGGCAAUCCCGUGGGCCUGCACUGACGCUCAUGCACGAAAGCGUGG
Molecule: ribosomal RNA, 241 nt
Filed under: uncultured bacterium
Lineage: Bacteria
Description: partial 16S ribosomal RNA
Rfam family: Bacterial small subunit ribosomal RNA
Source: RNAcentral